UAGUCCACGCCGUAAACGAUGAUCACUCGUUGUUGGCAAUACAUCGUCAGUGACUGAGCGAAAGCAUUAAGUGAUCCACCUGGGGAGUACGUUGGCAACAAUGAAACUCGAAGGAAUUGACGGGGGCCCGCACAAGCGGAGGAACAUGUGGUUUAAUUCGAUGAUACGCGAGGAACCUUACCUGGGCUUAAAUGCAGAAUGCUUGAAUUGGAAACAAUUCUUUCUUCGGACGUUUUGCAAGGUGCUGCAUGGUUGUCGUCAGCUCGUGCCGUGAGGUGUCGGGUUAAGUCCCAUAACGAGCGCAACCCCUAUUGUUAGUUGCUAACAGGUUAAGCUGAGGACUCUAACGAGACUGCCAUCGUAAGAUGAGAGGAAGGUGGGGAUGACGUCAAAUCAGCACGGCCCUUAUGUCCAGGGCUACACACGUGUUACAAUGGUCAGUACAAAGGGCAGCUACCUGGUGACAGGAUGCUAAUCUCUAAAU
Molecule: ribosomal RNA, 484 nt
Filed under: uncultured bacterium
Lineage: Bacteria
Description: bacterial SSU rRNA
Rfam family: Bacterial small subunit ribosomal RNA
Source: RNAcentral